AGUAAGAACUCAGUAAAGUAAAGUAAGAAUAAUAUAUUAAUAAAAGGAAAGUCUUACAAAAGUAGAAAGGUACAAGAGCUAUACCAGACUCUCCAGAAGACGACUCCGGAGACCCCGAGCUUCGCUCGACUCGACUCUAACUCCCACUCUAGACUAACUACUACUCUACUUGUAUGCUUGGAACUUGUAAUGCACUCGGCC
This 201-nucleotide long non-coding RNA is filed under the name Sorghum bicolor (sorghum). Its description in RNAcentral is "long non-coding RNA (SBIC_LNC012323)". The record is from RNAcentral. Lineage: Eukaryota; Viridiplantae; Streptophyta; Magnoliopsida; Poales; Poaceae.